This 505-nucleotide ribosomal RNA is filed under the name uncultured bacterium. RNAcentral's name for it is "bacterial SSU rRNA". It matches the Rfam family "Bacterial small subunit ribosomal RNA", at positions 22 to 518 of the family's 1533-position model. The record is from RNAcentral.
GGUCAGGAUGAACGCUAGCGACAGGCUUAACACAUGCAAGUCGAGGGGCAGCAUAAAAGUAGCAAUACUUGGUGGCGACCGGCGCACGGGUGAGUAACGCGUAUGCAACCUACCUAUCAGGAGGGGAAUAACCCGGCGAAAGUCGGACUAAUACCGCAUAAAACAGGGACACCGCAUGGUGAUAUUUGUUAAAGAAAUUCGCUGAUAGAUGGGCAUGCGUUCCAUUAGGUAGUUGGUGAGGUAACGGCUCACCAAGUCGACGAUGGAUAGGGGAACUGAGAGGUUGGUCCCCCACACUGGUACUGAGACACGGACCAGACUCCUACGGGAGGCAGCAGUGAGGAAUAUUGGUCAAUGGGCGAGAGCCUGAACCAGCCAAGUCGCGUGAAGGAAGAAAGGAUCUAUGGUUCGUAAACUUCUUUUGCAGGGGAAUGAAGUGCAGGACGUGUCCUGUUUUGUAUGUACCCUGAGAAUAAGGAUCGGCUAACUCCGUGCCAGCAGCAGC